Molecule: ribosomal RNA, 793 nt
Filed under: uncultured archaeon
Lineage: Archaea
Description: bacterial SSU rRNA
Rfam family: Archaeal small subunit ribosomal RNA
Source: RNAcentral
ACUGCUCAGUAACACGUGGAUAACCUACCCAAGAGUCCGGGAUAACCCCGGGAAACUGGGGAUAAUACCGGAUAGGUCAGACUUGCUGGAAGGCUGUUUGGCUGAAACUUCCGGGGCUUUUGGAUGGGUCUGCGGCUGAUUAGGUUGUUGCCGGUGUAACGUACCGUCAAGCCUGUAAUCAGUACGGGUUGUGGGAGCAAGAGCCCGGAGAUGGAUUCUGAGACACGAAUCCAGGCCCUACGGGGCGCAGCAGGCGCGAAAACUCUACAAUGCAGGCAACUGCGAUAGGGGAACAUCGAGUGAUCCUCAUAUUGGGGGUCUGUCCACCCGCCUAAAAAGCGGGUGUUAGCAAGGGCCGGGCAAGACCGGUGCCAGCCGCCGCGGUAAUACCGGCGGCUCGAGUGGUGGCCGAUAUUAUUGAGUCUAAAGGGUCCGUAGCCGGCUUUGCAAGUCUCUCGGGAAAUCCAGCGGCUUAACCGUUGGUCGUCCGGGGGGUACUACAUUGCUUGGGACUGGGAGAGGUAGGAGGUACUCAGGGGGUAGGAGUGAAAUCCUGUAAUCCUUUGGGGACCACCGGUGGCGAAGGCGUCCUACCAGAACAGGUCCGACGGUGAGGGACGAAAGCUAGGGGCACGAACCGGAUUAGAUACCCGGGUAGUCCUAGCCGUAAACGAUGCUCGCUAGGUGUCACAACAGUCGUGAACUGUUGUGGUGCCGUAGGGAAGCCGUGAAGCGAGCCACUUGGGAAGUACGACCGCAAGGUUGAAACUUAAAGGAAUUGGCGGGGGAGCAC